GCACCUACCGAUUGGACGAGCCGGCAAGAUGUUUGGAGUUCUGUCUCUUGCGUUUUCGGACGUGAUUGAUGCGAUAAAGCUCAUCAAACCUUAUCGUCUAGAGGAAGGUGAAGUCGUAACAAGGUUUCC
RNAcentral lists this ribosomal RNA (129 nucleotides) under Sorodiplophrys sp. RNAcentral's name for it is "partial small subunit ribosomal RNA". It matches the Rfam family "Eukaryotic small subunit ribosomal RNA", at positions 1678 to 1804 of the family's 1831-position model. The record is from RNAcentral. Lineage: Eukaryota; Bigyra; Amphifilida; Sorodiplophryidae.